GGCUUCUCUUCAUCACAUUCCGGCAGUGUCCCGGCAGCAUGUCACCAUCUGGCAGCGCUUCACUUUGGCUUAAGCAGACAGAGGAAUCUGGCCAGGACACCACUUACACAGGGAUCUAGAAGCCCCAAUUCUCAGAAAGAAUGUUUGUCUCUACGGAAGGGAGCUCCGUUUUUGCCUGGAGAUGGCUGCCACACCUCCAAACUCAGGGAUGUGUGAGAAGAUGCCUCCCCACCAAGUGGCCAGUUCUUCCCCAGAUAAUGAAUUAUCUUUUCUGCAACCCCACCGCUCCGCCUCCUCCACCAUGCUGGAAUAUGGCUUCCAUGUUCUGAUUCUCCAACUUGUCAGCUGGUUUCUAUUCUCUUUACCUCUCUUGAAAUUGUACGGGGAUCUCUCCUCCACUGUUUCCUCCCAUUACCUCGACUGUUAUGAGUUUAUUCCCAUGUUUUUAUCUUAUGUCUCUGGAAGGAGGAGUAAACCAUGGUCAUAUGUGUAUUUUAUUUCUUUCUUGAUUAUAACAUAGUUUAGGUUUAUUAUAAACAAAAAAUACAAGCAAUCAAGAAAAAUAUAAAAAGGAAAGGAAAACUUCAUAAAAUCUUGUGUCUCAGAGGUACUCACUGUUAACAUGCUGAUGGAAAUUCUUCCCAAGUCAACCAACUCUUCCUGCUCCGUGUGGAAUUCCCAGAGGGGGUUCGCCUGUGCUUUUAUCUUGGAGUCUUCACUCCUCUGGGAGCCAUUAUGCCAAAGGAACAAGCACUUUUUCAUUUUUCCAUUUUGCAACAGUUGCAUUCGUUGGCUUGUUUGGACGUGAAUUAGAAAAGAGACGAGUUUAUCUCUUUUUCAGUUGACUGCUGAGCCAGGGAGAGUUAGCAGGAGCUAACUUUGCCUUCUACUGUGUGGGGUGACCCACAGGGUCAGAGACAAGAGAACUCUCCGAAGGCGUGCACCUGGCAGACCCAGUUUCUCCGUCCAUGUGAGGGGCCUGUGUGAAGGCAUCAGAUGACCCCGUGCUUUUCUGGGCCAUCAGUCAACUCUCCAAGUGUGUGCUUUGCUUUUGACUUGGCCCAAGCUCCUGGCAGCAAAGAGGCUGAAGAGAGGGGAAGGCCUCAAUCUCCCAGCCAUGCACAGGUUGAAAGAAAGAAAACCAUCACACUGCUUUCCUGAGGAAGACUUUGGACUUUUUCUUAAAUGUUUAUGCUUCUCUCCUUCAUCCCCACGUAAGACAUUUUAGACAAACUCUGCCACCAAGAUACUGAGUUUGUGGGUCCCAGGUAGGGAGGGUGCAGAGAGGGGGCAGAAGGAUUCUGCCUGUGAGUGACAGCUUGAAAAAUGGAACUUUGCAGGGCCAGGCCCCCUACUCUUACCAUCAUUUGCUGACUAUCCGAGGGACGAGGAGACAAAAUCUCUCACUUUCUCGGACACACAGAUAAUCAGAGCACUCUCUGAGACUUUGAUCAAACCACACAUUUUUUUCCAGUAGUGGUUCUGGUGGAGAUAGGCCAUUUUAUGGAUAUUUUGGAAGUGAUUUCCUCUAUAUAAAAAGCACAUGUUCUGAGUUUGUUCUCCUGGCCAAAAAUGUCGCUAUAGCAUGGCAAUGAACCCCUCCCAGCACCUUUUUGUUGUGUUUUUUGUUUCGCAAUGCAUCAGGAGACUGAACUGAGAGAUAAAACAUGGAGAUAGGAACAGGAAAAUAUAAAAGUCACACCUUGCCAAGCUCACCACACCCAGAAAAAAACAAAAAAACAAAAAAACUGUCAAUAAAACAAGGGCCCUAUACAACUACAUCUCCUUCUAGACUGAACUCACCUUCCCUGUUCAGCAUAGGCUUCUUGGACCCUGUAAGGCAGGAUUGAGACUGCUGGCCUCUGUGUGACAUAAUAUAUUUCUUAUUGCACCAUUUUGCAGUGAUUUGUUUGUGUCUUUUUUCUUUU
RNAcentral lists this long non-coding RNA (1928 nucleotides) under Homo sapiens (human). RNAcentral's name for it is "HSALNT0132817". Lineage: Eukaryota; Metazoa; Chordata; Mammalia; Primates; Hominidae. The record is from RNAcentral.